GGAGAAAAUUAAACCAACUGAUGGGGGCGAUUUUAAUUAGCCAAAUACACUGACGUCAUCCGAGGUCAUUAAGAUGGCAGCGUUUGACAACUAGCCGGUUUUCUCAUAAGAGUCAAUGCUAAUAUUUUCGGAAUUCAUUUAAAUUUGAGAAUGUGUCAAGUGUGUUUUUAUAGUUUGGAGAAAAUGCCUAAAUUUUGUGCUGUUGUGGGUUGCGCGAAAUUUUGCGCUCCAGAAAUGCGGACAAAUUUUAUUUUCCUUUCCCAGCAAUUAGCAACAAUAAAGGUAAAUAUAUACAGGAUGGGGAAAAAAGGCGGAAGCUUUGGUUAAAAGCCUUGAAACGAGUGGAUUUAACGAAGCCAAAGUAAAGUAUUCCUAUAUUUGUUCGGAUCAUUUUAUUUUAGGUAAACCUGCAGAUUUGUCGGAUGUGGACCACCCUGAUUAUGUUCCAUCACAAAAUUUAGGAUAUCAAAAUAAAUCCACUAAUAAUACUUGUAAUGUUGAAAGACACAGUCGUUUAAAAAAGAGAAAACUGAAUAAAUGCCUCUAGACUUUUGAAUGCACGAAUUUCAUUGUGGGUUAUUUUACUUAUUCCAAAAAUAAAAAAGUUUAGAAUGGUAUUCAUUGUUAUGGUAGGGACAUCGUCUAAACACAAAUUAAAAUCACUUGCACUCAUUAUA
Zophobas morio is the source of this 677-nucleotide long non-coding RNA. RefSeq lists it as uncharacterized. Lineage: Eukaryota; Metazoa; Arthropoda; Insecta; Coleoptera; Tenebrionidae. The transcript has 3 exons. The record is from RefSeq and is a predicted model, not a curated record.